This 253-nucleotide ribosomal RNA is filed under the name uncultured bacterium. RNAcentral describes it as "partial 16S ribosomal RNA". It matches the Rfam family "Bacterial small subunit ribosomal RNA", at positions 524 to 776 of the family's 1533-position model. The record is from RNAcentral.
UACGAAGGGGGCUAGCGUUGCUCGGAAUCAUUGGGCGUAAAGCGCACGUAGGCGGAUUGUUAAGUCAGGGGUGAAAUCCUGGAGCUCAACUCCAGAACUGCCUUUGAUACUGGCGAUCUUGAGUCCGGGAGAGGUGAGUGGAACUGCGAGUGUAGAGGUGAAAUUCGUAGAUAUUCGCAAGAACACCAGUGGCGAAGGCGGCUCACUGGCCCGGUACUGACGCUGAGGUGCGAAAGCGUGGGGAGCAAACAGG